CACUAUCACUAUCAUUAUUAAAAUUAAAUUAAUCAAUUUUCUGAAGUAACUGAACAAUUUACAUAACUAAUCAAGCAUUUCAUCAUAAAGGGAGGUGACCCUGAGUUGUCAUGCCACCGGAACGCAAAUUCUCACAAAUCCAAUCAAACUUUAAACACCUAUCUGCCACCACAGGGCCAAGCCAUCUAGAUUCAGUAACACUGCUAGAAGAGUGGUCACCAGGGAGUGAUUAUUUUUUACCCCAACUACUAAUGAAGACAAACUACUGAGGGUUGGAGUGACUGCAAUCUGCACAAGUAGAAGAGCUUCCCCUACUGAGGAAAUCAUAGAUCCAUGAAAGAGAAGUAAUGUAAUAUACAAAAGGACUCUUAUUGGCAGAGUUUUCUGACAGAUGCGGGGUUUAAAAAGCAAAGCUGGGAAAGUGGAGGUGAGCGGAGCCACCAAAGGAAAGCUACAGACUGGAGUCACAGGAAGACAGGAGGGGCAGUACAUGGAACAGGAUGAUCACCAUGGCAUUCCUGAACUCAGAAGUACCUGAGUUCCGAUAGAGCUGAAAGGUUUCCUCAGAAGUCCACUCAACAGCCUCUUUUCCACAUUCCCAUAUUCCAAGAGGAAAUUGGAAAUAUGAAUCUGUGGCCACACAGAGAGAUCAGAAUUGGAGAUGUAGGUUGGUAGUCCUCCACAAAGAAGAUUUACAGCCAAAACACUAGUUCUCCCAAAGAAGACGAUACAAAAAGAAACCUAAGAACAGCCAGAAAAAUAAAGGCCAGUGAAGAGAGUGAUAAAAUUUCAGAUUGAGGCUCUCAGGGGUCUUCUAGUCCAACCCCCACCUGAAAAAUGAGCACCUCUACAGCAAGUGGUAUCAAACUCAAAUAGAAAGAGGGGCCAGUAAUCCAUACAUCAGGAUCCCUGUGAGCAGCACACUGACUAUUUUCAGUUAUUCUGUUCAAUAUUUCCAAUUACAUUUGAAUCUGGUUCAGGUCGCGCUGAGGACUCAGGAGUGUUGUGGGCCACGUGUUUGACCCCUCAGCUCUAGAGCAGCUCUGACCAGCAGCCACCCAUACAGGGCUUGCUGUUCUCUAGUAAGAAAGAACUCAAGGAGCAGUCAGAGGCAGGAGAAAGCCUACAAGAGUGUGACACAAAGGGAAGACAGUCAGGAGGAACAAGUACUCAACAGCAUCAGUUUCCACAGACGUCAAAGAAAAAAGCGACUGAUCUGGAGGAUCAAGAAGUGACUUUACCUUUGAGGACUGAGGGUAUGUAUACAGGAUAGCAAAAGCUCUUCUCUCUCACUCCAAGAGAAAAACAGUCCAAUGUGUUUUUCACUUAGUGUACCAUUAAACACAAAAUAAAACUGCC
This is a non-coding RNA of Phascolarctos cinereus (koala), 1359 nucleotides long. NCBI's taxonomy places the organism in Eukaryota, Metazoa, Chordata, Mammalia, Diprotodontia, Phascolarctidae. The record is from RefSeq and is a predicted model, not a curated record.